UUUGGUGACUAUUGCGAAGGUGCUCACCUCUUCCCUUUCCGAACAGAGUCGUUAAGCCCUUCUGCGCAGAUGGUACUACGCAAGUGGGAGAGUAUGUCGUCGCCAAUC
This 108-nucleotide ribosomal RNA is filed under the name Bacteroidetes bacterium GWE2_42_42. RNAcentral also lists the same sequence under 2 other names. Lineage: Bacteria; Pseudomonadati; Bacteroidota. The record is from RNAcentral.